Molecule: long non-coding RNA, 411 nt
Filed under: Crocodylus porosus (Australian saltwater crocodile)
Lineage: Eukaryota; Metazoa; Chordata; Crocodylia; Crocodylidae
Description: lncRNA (ENSCPRG00005009477.1)
Source: RNAcentral
AAUCGGGCCGUCAGACUGGCCCUGUAUGCCAGAUCAGGUCUGUGGGCCAGCUGCAUAACACUCAUCUGGUUCUCAGGGCCAGGUGACUUGGGUAUCACUGUCUUACAAUAUUUACAUAGGUAUCUAACUUUCCUCCUUGCGAGCAGUCCUAUUAACUUAAAUAUAUUCCUUAUAGAUACAAGUAACCCUAUGAUGACUCUACUGGGACAGUUUUUAUCAGUUCCAGGCAAACUGGAUCUCAGUGAACAGCAGCUUGAUAAUGGAUCCUUACAAACUGUGGCCAGUCGUGCCGAAUUUCAUUCAGAACCAGAUCUUCAGGGCUCAACAAAAGUUACUUUAAUUGGAUUGCCUCUUAGUUCCUGGGAUAUAAAGUCUAGAAAGCCAUGUAACUGUACCAAAUCUCAGUGUCUG